UAGGGAAUCUUCCACGAAUGGGACGCAAGCCUGAUGGAGCAACACCGCGUGAGUGGAAGAAGGGUUUCGGACUCGUAAAGCUCUGUUGUUAAAGAAGAACACGUAUGAGAGUAACUGUUCAUACGUUGACGGUAUUUAACCAGAAAGUCACGGCUAACUACGUGCCAG
RNAcentral lists this ribosomal RNA (168 nucleotides) under uncultured bacterium. RNAcentral's name for it is "partial 16S rRNA". It matches the Rfam family "Bacterial small subunit ribosomal RNA", at positions 355 to 511 of the family's 1533-position model. The record is from RNAcentral.